RNAcentral lists this ribosomal RNA (504 nucleotides) under Hansenula anomala. RNAcentral's name for it is "LSU rRNA". It matches the Rfam family "Eukaryotic large subunit ribosomal RNA", at positions 90 to 597 of the family's 3401-position model. Lineage: Eukaryota; Fungi; Ascomycota; Saccharomycetes; Phaffomycetales; Wickerhamomycetaceae. The record is from RNAcentral.
CGAGUGAAGCGGCAAAAGCUCAAAUUUGAAAUCUAGCACCUUCGGUGUUCGAGUUGUAAUUUGAAGAUGGUAACCUUGGGUUUGGCUCUUGUCUAUGUUCCUUGGAACAGGACGUCAUAGAGGGUGAGAAUCCCGUCUGAUGAGAUGCCCAUUCCUAUGUAAGGUGCUAUCGAAGAGUCGAGUUGUUUGGGAAUGCAGCUCUAAGUGGGUGGUAAAUUCCAUCUAAAGCUAAAUAUUGGCGAGAGACCGAUAGCGAACAAGUACAGUGAUGGAAAGAUGAAAAGAACUUUGAAAAGAGAGUGAAAAAGUACGUGAAAUUGUUGAAAGGGAAGGGCAUUAGAUCAGACUUGGUGUUUUACGAUUAUCUUCUCUUCUUGAGUUGUGCACUCGUAUUUCACUGGGCCAGCAUCGAUUCGGAUGGCAAGAUAAUGGCAGUUGAAUGUGGCUUCACUUCGGUGGAGUGUUAUAGCUUCUGCUGAUAUUGCCUGUCUGGAUCGAGGCUGC